This 85-nucleotide microRNA precursor is filed under the name Paramuricea clavata. The record is from RNAcentral. Lineage: Eukaryota; Metazoa; Cnidaria; Anthozoa; Malacalcyonacea; Plexauridae.
CGGCCACAAUUUUCGAUAAUCACCUUUGUAAUUAUACUAAUGUCUAUUAGUAUAAUUACAAAGGUGAUUAUCGAAAAUUGUGGCC